AGCCUGAUGCGCCAUGCCGCGUGUGUGAAGAAGGCCUUCGGGUUGUAAAGCACUUUCAGUCGUGAGGAAGGUGGUGUAGUUAAUAGCUGCAUUAUUUGACGUUAGCGACAGAAGAAGCACCGGCUAACUCCGUGCCAGCAGCCGCGGUAAUACGGAGGGUGCGAGCGUUAAUCGGAAUUACUGGGCGUAAAGCGCAUGCAGGUGGUUUGUUAAGUCAGAUGUGAAAGCCCGGGGCUCAACCUCGGAAUAGCAUUUGAAACUGGCAGACUAGAGUACUGUAGAGGGGGGUAGAAUUUCAGGUGUAGCGGUGAAAUGCGUAGAGAUCUGAAGGAAUACCGGUGGCGAAGGCGGCCCCCUGGACAGAUACUGACACUCAGAUGCGAAAGCGUGGGGAGCAAACAGGAUUAGAUACCCUGGUAGUCCACGCCGUAAACGAUGUCUACUUGGAGGUUGUGGCCUUGAGCCGUGGCUUUCGGAGCUAACGCGUUAAGUAGACCGCCUGGGGAGUACGGUCGCAAGAUUAAAACUCAAAUGAAUUGACGGGGGCCCGCACAAGCGGUGGAGCAUGUGGUUUAAUUCGAUGCAACGCGAAGAACCUUACCUACUCUUGACAUCCAGAGAACUUUCCAGAGAUGGAUUGGUGCCUUCGGGAACUCUGAGACAGGUGCUGCAUGGCUGUCGUCAGCUCGUGUUGUGAAAUGUUGGGUUAAGUCCCGCAACGAGCGCAACCCUUAUCCUUGUUUGCCAGCGAGUAAUGUCGGGAACUCCAGGGAGACUGCCGGUGAUAAACCGGAGGAAGGUGGGGACGACGUCAAGUCAUCAUGGCCCUUACGAGUAGGGCUACACACGUGCUACAAUGGCGCAUACAGAGGGCGGCCAACUUGCGAAAGUGAGCGAAUCCCAAAAAGUGCGUCGUAGUCCGGAUUGGAGUCUGCAACUCGACUCCAUGAAGUCGGAAUCGCUAGUAAUCGUGGAUCAGAAUGCCACGGUGAAUACGUUCCCGGGCCUUGUACACACCGCCCGUCACACCAUGGGAGUGGGCUGCAAAAGAAGUAGGUAGUUUAACCUUCGGGGGGACGCUUACCACUUUGUGGUCAUGACUGGGUGAUCG
This 1111-nucleotide ribosomal RNA is filed under the name Vibrio sp. 775M. RNAcentral's name for it is "bacterial SSU rRNA". It matches the Rfam family "Bacterial small subunit ribosomal RNA", at positions 380 to 1488 of the family's 1533-position model. The record is from RNAcentral. Lineage: Bacteria; Pseudomonadati; Pseudomonadota; Gammaproteobacteria; Vibrionales; Vibrionaceae.